This is a long non-coding RNA of Triticum dicoccoides, 2324 nucleotides long. RefSeq lists it as uncharacterized. The record is from RefSeq and is a predicted model, not a curated record. The transcript is spliced from 8 exons. NCBI's taxonomy places the organism in Eukaryota, Viridiplantae, Streptophyta, Magnoliopsida, Poales, Poaceae.
UCAGGGGAUCCGGCUCCCCUUCCUCCUCUCUCCCUCGUCAGCCGCCACAGCAAGAACCAUAGCCCCCUUCCCCAUUGCCGCCGCCCCUCCCGCAUUUGUUCUCUCCUUCCUCUCUCCGUUGUCAGCCGCCGCUACAACUCCUCCCUUCCCCAUCUUUGUCCGUGCAGCCGACCAAAUUAGCUCCGCCCGGAGAUCGCUGCCCCCCCAGUUCAUCAUCCCUCCCUUGCUGCUCUGCUUUCACCAGGGACGGACGAAUCCAUGCACCCCCUCGCCUAGAACCGCCAGGUGAAGAAGAUGGACGAGCGCGAGGGUCGGAGGCGGCCACCAAGGGACGGAUCUGGCACGGGAUUACGGGUUUCAAGACCCUCGUGGUUGACCUCCUCUUCGCUUCUUCCUCGUGCUGCUCCAUCCCCUUGGUUCUUCCCCUCUAUAAUGUGAUGCAGUUUACUGUUUUUACAGCUGCAGAUUACUUGUGAUUUUCUGCAUAAUCAACUUGUCAAGUAGUGGUGUCAAUGGAAGCCGUGACAGUCAUUCUGGUGACAUAUGCACAUCAGGUCAGCACCGCUGUUGUCACUGGGCAGAAUAGAUGACUGGCCAUGGGCAGGCUCGGAGCCCUCUGCGAAUAGGUUUGCAUGUUCAGUCAAUGGGAAAUUGGUAGCAACUUUCCUGCACUUUUUGGAUGCAUAGCUUUGAUAGUUUUGCUUGCGGUGCCUAAAUUACAGCCUGCCAAUGGCAUGGAGUUUAGGUGUCUAGCCCAUGCAUUGGGAAGAGUUUGGGUGGGUCGCGGACUCGCGGUUGAUAUCGGACCUGUAAAUGAAGAAAUUUUCAUCGCAGUGGGCAUAAUUAAUGGUGUGGUGGGGCUUAGUUGCACGCUCGUUGGUCUGCCCAAGGCGAAGGAGUUCACCGUGGUGGACACGCCACUCCUGGAGCGGCUCUUCUUGCUCCUGCCGCCUAAUGGUGUGGUGGGGCUUAGGAUCGCUUGUGCUCCCAACCUGUGGGUGCUCGCCUACCUAGACACAAAGAGCUCGCAUGCUACAGAUUGGUGUCAUCAUCAUUGGGGCACAUCUCUCCGGUCUACAUCUCUCUUGCAACUUGAAAUUAUUCCAUCGACAUUGAUCCAACCAUCAUGUUGUUCUUUGUGAUCAGAAAACUAUCAAUGACUUGUGAUAAUAAUGUUGCUUUAGCUGUAGCUCAUUGCAGUCUCUAAAAAUUAUUCCAGUAAUCCCUCUUCUUCUCUUCUCUUCUAGUAACUAUCAAUGACUGGUGGUGAGUUCAGCGGCUGCCGCCUCCUCUUCUCUUUGAAUCCAGUAAACCCUCUCGUGAGUGCAUCAGGGGAUGUCGUGCCCUCGACUACGCUGAAGCACCAGGUCCACUUGAGCUCCUCCUUAAAUAGAUGUGUUCGUGUCAUUUAGCCCCAAAAUUCAGUUCAGUUUGGAUCUACAUCUUUUGGCGACCCCUUUUCUUGGUUUCUUUCCUGGCAGCGAAUUUAUGAUUCAGACCAUUCCAUAACAAAAUGCAUAUAUGGCCUCACGAUCAUUUCACAAAAUGGAAGUAUAGAGGAAUUAAUAUAUAGAAGUUAUGACCAUCGUGUAGAGUGAUCUCUGAAGAUGGAUUGCAGAUAAGUAGAUUAACAAUUUAGUAAUGACCCUAUUUCUGUUGAUACUUUUUAUUUUACUAAAUCUUUCGUAUUAACCAUAAGCAUAAAGGAUAUCAUGUUGGGUUGCAUUACCAUGUAAGGAAUGGAUAUCCUAAACCUGAGAAAGUACCAAUGCAGAUGAUAGUUUCUUAGGAAUAUCAUCGUGUUGUUACAGCAAAGAUGGCUAGCUGUAGCACCUUCUAUAGUUUAGUUUACUAUUAGGGAUAUCAUUCAAUCUCUAAACUAUGUGUUACCAUUAUAAAUUUGGCUAAGGAAUCUGUCUCAUUUUAAUAUUGCAAUGAAGUGGUUGGGAUGGAGAGGGUUUUUUACUUGACUAUUUUCUGACUAUAUACCUUUCUGUUUUGUGCAAGUACGAAGUAUUAGUAAUUUCAGUCUGUCCAAUUUUUGCAGGGAUAAUUGUGUGAGUCUGGUCCAAACUUUAAGACAAUCACUUAAUACAUUUAUGGGAUCACCAACUUUUGGCGUUUAUUGAGACUAGCUAGGUGGGACCAUGAAUUCCUAGAAGAUUGUGAACAAAAGUAAAAAAUGGAAGGCCCAGCUUACUUUGGUAUUAAGAGACAAGGAGCUGCAGCGUCAUGGAUUGGAGCGAAGGAGAGAUCCUGACGGCUGAAGAUGGUGUGCACGGGAGGAGCUCGAAGCGGCACUCUCAUGGAGGGAUGGCUGAUGU